AAAUUGUUUUUUUUUUUUAAAUUCUUUUCUUUCUUUUUUCUCUGAAGCCAUAUCUGAGUUCGGCCACAAGGCCGUUGUUGCUCCGCCGUGGCCAACGGUCAUCAACGACGGCGACCAUCGCCUCCGAUGGCUGGAGUUACAAAAAAUAAGCUUUUCCAGCCUUUUUGAUCCCCCAAUACCCAGAUCUGAAGGCGAUGCCUUCUAAACUCGAAAAAAAAUCCAAAAAACUUUUAGCCUUUUCUCUUUUUCUGAAUGCACACCCCUCGUCGAAGCCCAGGUGGAACCCUUGUGGGUUUUGAGGCUUUCGGGGUCGGAGAAGACCUUUGACGACGGCAGGAAGUGAAAUGACACAGGUGCUCGUGGUAAGGUCAACAAUGCUAAGGAGCCACGCCUUGCCAUUUCGGUGAAAGGAAGGGGAGAGACCUCGGGUUGCGCAUCUGCUAACGUGGCGAAGGAGUGGCACCGAAGCUUUCAAAGGUGAAACUAGGGAUUCGGUUAGUUUUUAGGGUUUUGGGCUUGGGUUGGUGUAGUAUUGGGCUUUAGGAUUUUGGGUUAGGUGAUGUAUUUGGGGCUUGACUUGGGCUUGUAAAAUGAACUCUUAAUGGACUUGUUUAUUUUUUAGUUUAUCUGCUUUUUGUCUAUUUUUGUCUGGGCUGAAGAAAAUUGGUCUAUUACACUAUCAUUUUUGAAAAGCCAAA
Long non-coding RNA from Gossypium arboreum, 698 nucleotides. RefSeq lists it as uncharacterized. Lineage: Eukaryota; Viridiplantae; Streptophyta; Magnoliopsida; Malvales; Malvaceae. The record is from RefSeq and is a predicted model, not a curated record. The transcript is spliced from 2 exons.